This is a non-coding RNA of Meleagris gallopavo (turkey), 513 nucleotides long. NCBI's taxonomy places the organism in Eukaryota, Metazoa, Chordata, Aves, Galliformes, Phasianidae. The record is from RefSeq and is a predicted model, not a curated record.
GUUUUUCUCUGGCCAUUCUUUUCUUGUGGGGUAUUUUCUGUGAGCCUAGGAUAUGGAUGUAUAAACCAGAGAGCAUGCUGCAGUCCUGUUGUCAUUUCCUUGGUCCUCUGACCAGGGCAAACUGGAGACAAGACAUGGAAGGAUACACACUGAAGAAGAAGGGGAAUUAAAGUCCUGUUCGGCUUGUAAAUAUGCAGAAAGCUACAGAAAGUGGGAGGCGAUGGAAGAUAAAAAUCUACAGAGAAGAAAUGAGACAAUGUCAGCAAACCUUGGUAUCUUUCAGGCGAGUAGGCAACCUGACAAACAGAAAUAAUGUAAACUGUGCCGGCAUUAAAAAUGCAACGCCUUCUGCUUAUAAACAAGUCUGGAUUGGUUUUGUUUGUGGCUCUUCGUUGGUUGGUUGUUUUUUAGAUGAUCUGUCCUUUUAGAAAGAAUAACCAAAAAUAAGACUAUUUACUUCUUUAAUUUUUUAGCUUGCAUUUAUCUGUUAGCAAUCCAUUUGACUGAGUUGUU